RNAcentral lists this ribosomal RNA (244 nucleotides) under uncultured bacterium. RNAcentral's name for it is "partial 16S ribosomal RNA". It matches the Rfam family "Bacterial small subunit ribosomal RNA", at positions 9 to 247 of the family's 1533-position model. The record is from RNAcentral.
GAGUUUGAUCUUGGCUCAGGACGAACGCUGGCGGCGUGCCUAACACAUGCAAGUCGAACGGAGAUAUUCGGAGCUUGCUUUGGAUAUCUUAGUGGCGGACGGGUGAGUAACGCGUGAGUAACCUGCCUCUCAGAGGGGGAUAACGUUCUGAAAGAACGCUAAUACCGCAUGAUAUUGCGAAACCGCAUGGUUUUGCAAUCAAAGGAGCAAUCCGCUGAGAGAUGGACUCGCGUCCGAUUAGCCA